Molecule: long non-coding RNA, 241 nt
Filed under: Gossypium raimondii (Peruvian cotton)
Lineage: Eukaryota; Viridiplantae; Streptophyta; Magnoliopsida; Malvales; Malvaceae
Description: long non-coding RNA (GRAI_LNC000682)
Source: RNAcentral
UCACGCUUGCGCGAGGAUCUAAUCCUUUCCCAUAUUAUCCAAUGAACCUGAAUCGAUUACAGUUAAAGGUUGUUGGUUGUGUAUUUCAACUGAACGAGAGCAGCUAAGAGAUGGAUCAGUCUCCAUAUCAGUGAUUUGCUGCUUCUUUUCAAUAUCAAGAUUUCAAGAAAUAUUCCCAAAAGCAGAAAUGGAAUCAUCAGAGCUCUUGAAAAUGAACCCAGUAGAUGUAGAUCCAAGUUGU